Molecule: ribosomal RNA, 1482 nt
Filed under: metagenome
Description: bacterial SSU rRNA
Rfam family: Bacterial small subunit ribosomal RNA
Source: RNAcentral
AGAGUUUGAUCCUGGCUCAGGACGAACGCUGGCGGCGUGCUUAACACAUGCAAGUCGAACGAGAAUCUACUGAAAGAGUUUUCGGACAAUGGAUGUAGAGGAAAGUGGCGGACGGGUGAGUAACGCGUGAGGAACCUGCCUUGAAGAGGGGGACAACAGUUGGAAACGACUGCUAAUACCGCAUGAUGCAUAGGGGUCGCAUGAUCUUUAUGCCAAAGAUUUAUCGCUUCAAGAUGGCCUCGCGUCUGAUUAGCUAGUUGGCGGGGUAAUGGCCCACCAAGGCGACGAUCAGUAGCCGGACUGAGAGGUUGAACGGCCACAUUGGGACUGAGAUACGGCCCAGACUCCUACGGGAGGCAGCAGUGGGGAAUAUUGGGCAAUGGGCGCAAGUCUGACCCAGCAACGCCGCGUGAAGGAAGAAGGCUUUCGGGUUGUAAACUUCUUUUAAGAGGGAAGAGUAGAAGACGGUACCUCUAGAAUAAGCCACGGCUAACUACGUGCCAGCAGCCGCGGUAAUACGUAGGUGGCAAGCGUUGUCCGGAUUUACUGGGUGUAAAGGGCGUGCAGCCGGGUCUGCAAGUCAGAUGUGAAAUCCAUGGGCUCAACCCAUGAACUGCAUUUGAAACUGUAGAUCUUGAGUGUCGGAGGGGCAAUCGGAAUUCCUAGUGUAGCGGUGAAAUGCGUAGAUAUUAGGAGGAACACAGUGGCGAAGGCGGAUUGCUGGACGAUAACUGACGGUGAGGCGCGAAAGUGUGGGGAGCAAACAGGAUUAGAUACCCUGGUAGUCCACACUGUAAACGAUGAAUACUAGGUGUGCGGGGACUGACCCCCUGCGUGCCGCAGUAAACACAAUAAGUAUUCCACCUGGGGAGUACGAUCGCAAGGUUGAAACUCAAAGGAAUUGACGGGGGCCCGCACAAGCGGUGGAUUAUGUGGUUUAAUUCGGCGCAACACGAAGAACCUUACCAAGUCUUGACAUCCUGCGACGCACAUAGAAAUAUGUGUUUCCUUCGGGACGCAGAGACAGGUGGUGCAUGGUUGUCGUCAGCUCGUGUCGUGAGAUGUUGGGUUAAGUCCCGCAACGAGCGCAACCCUUAUGGUCAGUUACUACGCAAGAGGACUCUGGCCAGACUGCCGUUGACAAAACGGAGGAAGGUGGGGAUGACGUCAAAUCAUCAUGCCCUUUAUGACUUGGGCUACACACGUACUACAAUGGCGUUAAACAAAGAGAAGCAAGACCGCGAGGUGGAGCAAAACUCAGAAACAACGUCCCAGUUCGGACUGCAGGCUGCAACUCGCCUGCACGAAGUCGGAAUUGCUAGUAAUCGCAGAUCAGCAUGCUGCGGUGAAUACGUUCCCGGGCCUUGUACACACCGCCCGUCACACCAUGAGAGCCGGGGGGACCCGAAGUCGGUAGUCUAACCGCAAGGAGGACGCCGCCGAAGGUAAAACUGGUGAUUGGGGUGAAGUCGUAACAAAGUA